GAAGGUUCACGAAUCUGAAUACUCAAUAUAGUUGGAGUCUUGAUGACGGUAAAACAGGUGGUCUAACCGACACACGCGAUUACACGAAAGUAGCAAAGGCUAAACUUUAUCUAAUCAAAACCCAAGGCUCCAUAGGGGGGCUCAUGGGGUAUAAAUAGGAGGGGAACUAGGUGGUUUUCGGCCAGGCCCUUGUGGGAGUCCGAAACGGCCUAGGAAUCCUCCUAAAACACAACGAAAACAUCUAAAAAUUGGCUGGACCCUAUUACAUGGCCUUAGGCCCAAUAAAACAAGGUUAUAACCCUCAUCUUUGGCCCAUAGAUACCCAUUGGAGGGGGAAUCCUCCACUUGGCCGAAAUCCCAUUGAUGAAGAGGAUGCGGCCUUCUUCUCAUCUCUUUAUGGCGGUUUCAAUGUUCUGAAAUCAACACUUGAGCUACCUCCCACCACCUUGCUGCCACCUCCAUGGUUUGCUGUCCAACGCUGAUCCUUGAGGUCCAAGCUAGGUCCUUCAUUCCUAAAACACAUAAAAGAACCCAUCUUAGGCAGCAGCAUAUUCUCAUUAAUAUUAAAUGAAAUACCGAGGAACGAAAGUACCUGAUAAUUUAGUUGUCGUGCACGAG
Molecule: long non-coding RNA, 618 nt
Filed under: Brachypodium distachyon (stiff brome)
Lineage: Eukaryota; Viridiplantae; Streptophyta; Magnoliopsida; Poales; Poaceae
Description: long non-coding RNA (BDIS_LNC003340)
Source: RNAcentral